GCUUGGGUGGCUCAGUAGGUUAAGCAUCUGACUUCGACUCAGAUCAUGAUCUCACUGCACGUGGGUUUGAUCCCCCCAUCAGCU
Molecule: transfer RNA, 84 nt
Filed under: Felis catus (domestic cat)
Lineage: Eukaryota; Metazoa; Chordata; Mammalia; Carnivora; Felidae
Rfam family: tRNA
About the family: Transfer RNA (tRNA) molecules are approximately 80 nucleotides in length. Their secondary structure includes four short double-helical elements and three loops (D, anti-codon, and T loops).
Source: Rfam by way of RNAcentral